CCUACGGGAGGCAGCAGUGGGGAAUAUUGGGCAAUGGAGGAAACUCUGACCCAGCGACGCCGCGUGCGGGAUGAAGGCCUUCGGGUUGUAAACCGCUUUCAGCAGGGGAGAAGCGAAAGUGACGGUACCUGCAGAAGAAGCACCGGCUAACUAUGUGCCAGCAGCCGCGGUAAUACAUAGGGUGCGAGCGUUGUCCGGAAUUAUUGGGCGUAAAGAGCUCGUAGGUGGUUCGUCACGUCGGAUGUGAAAAUCUGGGGCUUAACCCCAGACCUGCAUUCGAUACGGGCGAGCUUGAGUAUGGUAGGGGAGUCUGGAAUUCCUGGUGUAGCGGUGGAAUGCGCAGAUAUCAGGAGGAACACCAAUGGCGAAGGCAGGACUCUGGGCCAUUACUGACACUGAGGAGCGAAAGCGUGGGGAGCGAACAGGAUUAGAUACCCUGGUAGUCCACGCCGUAAACGGUGGGCACUAGUUGUGGGGACCUUCCACGGUCUCUGCGACGCNGCUACGCAUAGUGCCCCGCCGCGGGAGGUACGANCGCAGAUUAAACUACAAUAGAAGUUAGACGGCGUGAGACGUGCCGACGGACGACGACCGACGGGGAGGUUAGGG
This 609-nucleotide ribosomal RNA is filed under the name uncultured bacterium. Its description in RNAcentral is "bacterial SSU rRNA". The stretch from base 1 to 521 matches the Rfam family "Bacterial small subunit ribosomal RNA", at positions 338 to 873 of the family's 1533-position model. The record is from RNAcentral.